GAGNAGAGUUAAGAAACAAGGAAACUG
This 27-nucleotide transfer RNA is filed under the name Ambystoma maculatum (spotted salamander). RNAcentral's name for it is "partial tRNA-Ser". The record is from RNAcentral. Lineage: Eukaryota; Metazoa; Chordata; Amphibia; Caudata; Ambystomatidae.